AACACCCAAAUAGCCAUAGUGAUUUUAAAAAAGAAGAACAAACACGUAAGAAUUGGAGGCAAAGAAAUGUGGACUUGGAGAAGUCUGGAGCCAGCUUGCUCCCUGCAGGCUCAAGAUCAACCAUCCCACAUAG
Molecule: small nucleolar RNA, 133 nt
Organism: Eptesicus fuscus (big brown bat)
Lineage: Eukaryota; Metazoa; Chordata; Mammalia; Chiroptera; Vespertilionidae
Product: small nucleolar RNA SNORA38
Exons: 1
Source: RefSeq, a predicted model, not a curated record